AAAGAAUUAGUUAAAAAAUAACAUUAGAAUGUCAAACUAAAAUUAUUAAAAUAACUUAAUAUUCUUUA
RNAcentral lists this transfer RNA (68 nucleotides) under Carabidae sp. BMNH 1274270. Its description in RNAcentral is "tRNA-Asp". Lineage: Eukaryota; Metazoa; Arthropoda; Insecta; Coleoptera; Carabidae. The record is from RNAcentral.